This 74-nucleotide transfer RNA is filed under the name Parolsenella catena. RNAcentral describes it as "tRNA-Cys". It matches the Rfam family "tRNA". From Rfam's summary of the family: Transfer RNA (tRNA) molecules are approximately 80 nucleotides in length. Their secondary structure includes four short double-helical elements and three loops (D, anti-codon, and T loops). Further hydrogen bonds mediate the characteristic L-shaped molecular structure. tRNAs have two regions of fundamental functional importance: the anti-codon, which is responsible for specific mRNA codon recognition, and the 3' end, to which the tRNAs corresponding amino acid is attached (by aminoacyl-tRNA synthetases). tRNAs cope with the degeneracy of the genetic code in two manners: having more than one tRNA (with a specific anti-codon) for a particular amino acid; and 'wobble' base-pairing, i.e. permitting non-standard base-pairing at the 3rd anti-codon position. RNAcentral also lists the same sequence under 3 other names. Lineage: Bacteria; Bacillati; Actinomycetota; Coriobacteriia; Coriobacteriales; Atopobiaceae. The record is from RNAcentral.
GGCGACGUGGCCAAGUGGUAAGGCAUGGGCCUGCAAAGCCCCUACCCCCAGUUCGAAUCUGGGCGUCGCCUCCA